RNAcentral lists this ribosomal RNA (404 nucleotides) under Actinomycetes bacterium. Its description in RNAcentral is "Actinobacteria bacterium partial 16S ribosomal RNA". It matches the Rfam family "Bacterial small subunit ribosomal RNA", at positions 355 to 776 of the family's 1533-position model. Lineage: Bacteria; Bacillati; Actinomycetota; Actinomycetes. The record is from RNAcentral.
UGGGGAAUUUUGGACAAUGGGCGCAAGCCUGAUCCAGCCAUGCCGCGUGAGUGAUGAAGGCCCCAGGGUUGUAAAGCCCUUUCACCGGUGAAGAUAAUGACGGUAACCGGAGAAGAAGCCCCGGCUAACUUCGUGCCAGCAGCCGCGGUAAUACGAAGGGGGCUAGCGUUGUUCGGAUUUACUGGGCGUAAAGCGCACGUAGGCGGACUUUUAAGUCAGGGGUGAAAUCCCGGGGCUCAACCCCGGAACUGCCUUUGAUACUGGAAGGCUUGAGUAGGGUAGAGGUGAGUGGAAUUCCGAGGGUAGAGGUGAAAUUCGUAGAUAUUCGGAGGAACACCAGUGGCGAAGGCGGCUCACUGGACCAUUACUGACGCUGAGGUGCGAAAGCGUGGGGAGCAAACAGG